This 254-nucleotide ribosomal RNA is filed under the name uncultured bacterium. Its description in RNAcentral is "partial 16S ribosomal RNA". It matches the Rfam family "Bacterial small subunit ribosomal RNA", at positions 524 to 776 of the family's 1533-position model. The record is from RNAcentral.
UACAGAGGGUGCAAGCGUUAAUCGGAUUUACUGGGCGUAAAGCGCGCGUAGGCGGCUAAUUAAGUCAAAUGUGAAAAUCCCCGAGCUUAACUUGGGAAUUGCAUUCGAUACUGGUCAGCUAGAGUGUGGGAGAGGAUGGUAGAAUUCCAGGUGUAGCGGUGAAAUGCGUAGAGAUCUGGAGGAAUACCGAUGGCGAAGGCAGCCAUCUGGCCUAACACUGACGCUGAGGUGCGAAAGCAUGGGGAGCAAACAGG